UACGGAGGGUGCGAGCGUUGUCCGGAAUCAUUGGGCGUAAAGGGCGCGUAGGUGGCCCGGUCAGUUCGUGGUGAAAGCGCGGGGCUCAACCCUGCGUCGGCCAUGAAUACUGCCGCGGCUGGAGCACUGUAGAGGCAGGCGGAAUUCCGGGUGUAGCGGUGGAAUGCGUAGAGAUCCGGAAGAACACCGGUGGCGGAGGCGGCCUGCUGGGCAGUUGCUGACACUGAGGCGCGACAGCGUGGGGAGCAAACAGG
Molecule: ribosomal RNA, 254 nt
Filed under: uncultured bacterium
Lineage: Bacteria
Description: partial 16S ribosomal RNA
Rfam family: Bacterial small subunit ribosomal RNA
Source: RNAcentral